This is a long non-coding RNA of Triticum aestivum (bread wheat), 4167 nucleotides long. RefSeq lists it as uncharacterized. The record is from RefSeq and is a predicted model, not a curated record. Lineage: Eukaryota; Viridiplantae; Streptophyta; Magnoliopsida; Poales; Poaceae. The transcript is spliced from 5 exons.
CUGCUAAAAGUCUUAGUCGAUUGCCCAGCCGUUCGAUCGUUGUUUGCUUGCAGAUUCGCGCCGUGGCGCUUUGUCCUUUGUUUCAUCCUGUGACCGGCCCGUUUACUUGUUUUUUUGUUGAGCGUUGUCUAAUGUUUGGGGCCGGCCUGGAUUCGUGUGAGCAUGUCGCUUUUUUAUGGGCUGGGGCAAAAUGCUGGGGGAUGCAGUAAAUAAAGAGGGUGAAGAGGAAGUGGGACCCGUGGUAAUUAAGAGGAGGGGAACGGCAAGUCAGCCCAUUUCUUCCUUCUCUCUCUAUUCUUCUCUGUCAAAGCUGAAGAUCUGCAGCGGAAUGAAGAAAUCGAUGUGCUCCUCCACAGCAAUCUAGAGGACGGGCGGUGCUACUGAUGGAGAGAUGGUUUGCAGAGUUUGUCUGAGCCCUUGCAACUGCGAGAGCAGGGGAAGCAGCAUCAGCAUGUAUGUCUGGAAGGAGUUCAAAAAGGGAGGGGGGCUACAUUUCUGUCCCUAACUCGAACCACCUACUCAUAUUUGUCCCUAAUUUUAAAGCAUGCUCAAAUUUGCCCCUCUGUCGUUAGGUGCGCUUAUAGAAAUGCCCAUCCGUGCCGUUUCCGUCCGGUCAAAGCUGUUUGACCGGUAUCUGGCCGUUUCUUUGACAAUUUUGCCCCUGUCUUCGUGUGUCACUUGCCGGUAGGACCCACUCCCUUUUUUUUGAAAAAAACUUUCUCUCACCCCCAUCUCUCUCACACACACUUACAUGUGGGUCCUAGCUAGACAAAAAAAUAUUUUUCUUUCUCUCACCUCUCUCUCCCUGCCGAACGACGGGCCGACGCCACUCUCUCUCAACUCCGGUGAGAGUGCCGAACGGGCGCCGCCUCUACCGCUGUCCUUCCCUGACGCCGCAUCCUCUCGCCCUCGUUCUCUUUCUGCCGCUAGCCUGCUUUCUCUCUCCCGCCCUUGAGCCCUCUCCCGCAAGCACGCUGGAGAGUGACCUGCCGCCGUCGUCUGUCAAGAACGUGGCCAAGGGCAACCCCAAGCCCCGCCAAUUCGCCGGGAAGCUCUUACGACAUGAACGCAUCCUACCAGCCUACUAAUUCGACCAGAGACAUCAAGGAUUGAGCGCUACAACGCAUCUUCCCCGCCUUCAGUCUCAGAUUGCCGUCUUCGAUUCGACGCCAUUGAGGCACGCCGGUCGAUUCCGCCUGCUCCCGGGGCAUCGUGAUGUACCUAAGAAGACGUGGGCUUCCUCCACAGCAAGCGCCAUGAGCUCGGGUUUUCUUCCCUACGAGCUCCGAGCUCUGCCAUGGCCGCCAUCGUCGAAGUCCUCGCUCUAGCCUUCUCUUAGCCCGAGCGGCGUAGCCAUCGUGAUCCUAGUGAUGGAAGAUCCCCCACACAGCCUUUUUCCCUCUCCCUCCCGCUCGCAUGGAAGCUCCCCCACUUGUGCCGCCCAGAGCCGCCUCGAGAAUGGUCGCCGCCGUUUGUUCCGGCGACCAUAUGGUCCAACGACAAUAUCCCCGCACGCGGUAGAUCGAGGGCUAUCGCCUGGUCCUCUCGGUCGGCCUCCUUGCGGCCUCCCUGUGUGCCUCCGGCGUGGGAAUUGGUCGUCGCCGGCGACCGUCGGCCUAAGCCACGGUUUUUAAUUAAGGAAGCCUAAUCCACUGUUAAUUAAAAAAUUAUUUGAGACAAUACUGAUAAGCCAAUGGCAUGUGGGCCUAAUAUCUAGUUUGACUAGUCCUUUUCUAUUUUUCAUUUUAGUUUUUAGCCAGGACCCACGUGGAAGUGUGUGAGAGAUAGGUUUUUUACCAAAACAAUUGGAGUGGGUCCCAUCCGUAAGAGACACAGGGAGACAGGGGCAAGAUUGUCAAAGAAACGGCCAGAUACCAGUCAACCCACUUUGACCGGACGGAAACAGCACGGAAGGACAUUUCUAUAAGUGCACCUAACGGCAGAGGGGCAAAUUUGAGCACACUUCGAAAUUAAGGGCAAAUAUGAGUAGUGGGUUCCAGUUAGGGACAUAGAUGUAAAAGACCCAAAAACAAAUAGGUUGUGCCAUGCAAUGAAAGGGUUCAUUUCAACAACCUGACGGGAGAUAGGCUGACAUUCAAGGCAAACAAACUUACAUACACUGUGAAGUGUCAGCGCAAGUAGAGUGCAUUGUAUGGGAGAUGGUGGAGGAAGUUUGUUGCAGACAACAAGCUGGGGAAAGGUCAGAUGGUUUUGUUCUACUUGGACCAGCAUUCACCAAGGGCGGUUGUUUGCGUGGUCUAGUUUGGAAACAACACUGAAGAUGUUGGGGGAGGAUCAGGAAUGGCGUGCCCCAGUUUGCCACGCAUACUGCGAGAAUGACAAUGGUCGGAGCUUCGGCAUCUAUGUCUGUGAUGGCAAUGGAAUCUUUCCGAUCGUCCCAUGCUCUACAAGGAACAAGUUUGCUCAGUUGUCAGGCGCUUAUAUGAAUUUCAAAGCGCACAACCACUGGUAUGUUGUGGAUGUGUACAGGGGGCACAAACUACUCGCCUUGGUGGUGAUGAUUGGAAGAAGUUCAUUGCGGACUUCAAGCUGGGCCAUUGGGAGUUGGUCCUUUUCUGUAUAUGACAGUACGGAUGCCCAGAGAAGUUGUCGGAGAGGGCGGCGGGGAAAAGGUGGGGGGGGGGGCAAUUGCAUGUCUUCUAACUUGGUUGCAACUGGGGCUGUGUUUUGUCAGGCAUCAACAAGAAGGUGGGGGGUGUCAGUUGCACGUCCCACACUGGUCAUGUAACUUCAAGUGCCCCCCCGGCUGCAAUUGCAUGCCUUCCACCAUGAUUGCAAUUAGGGAUUUGUUUUGUUAGAGGGGCCGCGGGAAGGAAGAGGGGUCAGUUGCAUGUACAACUGUAGUCAUGCAUCUGCAUGUCUUCUUACAUGGUUGCUACUGGGCUUUGUUUUGUUAGAGGGGGCAUCGACAAGGGGGGGGUCAGUUGCAUGUCCCACAUUAGUCAUGCAACUGCAAGCAUUGCCCCCCGACUGCAACGACAUGUCUUCCAACAUGGUUGCAACUAGGGCUUUGUUUUGUUGGAAGGGGAAUCAACAGGAGGGGGCAGUUGCAUGUCCAACCAUUGUCAUGUAACUACAUGUCCUCUAACUUGGUUGUAACUGGGGCUUUGUUUUGUCAGAGGGGCCAUCAGCAAGAAGUGGGUCAUUUGCAUGUCCCACACUAGUUAUGCAACUACAAACGUCACCCUCGACUGCAACUACAUGUCUUCCACCAUGGUUGCAACUAGGCUUUGUUUUGUCGGAGUGGGCGGCUCGAAGAGAGGAGGGGGGCAGUUGCAGGCCCAAGUGUAGUCAUGCAACUGCAUGUCUUCUAACUUGGUUGCAACUGGGGAUUUGUUUGGUCAGAGGGGCCGCAGGGGAGAAGGGGGUCAGUUGCAUAUCCCACUCUAGUCAUGCAAUUGCUAGCGUCGCCCCCUGACUAAAACUGCAUGUCUUUCCAACAUGGUUGCAACUGGGCUUUGUUUUGUCGGAGGGGGCAUCUGCAAGAAGGGGAGGGGGAGUUGCAUGUCCAACCGUUGUCAUGCAAUUGCCUGUCUCCCAACAUGAUUGCAACUGUGAUUUGUUUUGUCAAAGGGGCGGUGGGGAGAAGAGGGGCCAGUUGCAUGUCCAACUGUAGUCAUGCAACUCCAAGCGUCGCCUCCCCCCACCCCUGGGUUCGCAGCUGCAUGUCUUCCAGCAUGGGUGCAACUGGGUCUUUGAUAUGUCGAAGGGAGCGGUGGGAAGAGGGGCGGGGUCAGUUGCAUGCCCCACACUAGUCACGCAACCUCAAGCACCCCCCGAUUGCAGUUGCAUGUCUUUCAACAUGGGUGCAACUGGGUCUUUAUUUUGUCGGAGGGGUCAGUUGUGUGCCCACACUAGUCAUGCAACUACAUGUCUUCCAACAUGGGUGCAACUGGUGCUUUGUUUUGUCGGAGGGGCCGACGAGGAGGGGGCCAAUUGGCAUGUCCAAAUGCAUUCAUAGAACUGCAUGUCUUCCAACACGGUUGCAACUAGGCUUUGUUUUGUUGGAGAGGGCGACCAGGGGAGAAAGGGGACCAGUUGCAUGUCCAACUAUACUCAUGCAACCGCAAGCGUCACCCCCACCCCACCUUGAUUUCCACUUCAUGUCUACCAACGUGGUUGCAACUUGGGCUUUGUUUUGUCAGA